UGCAAUGCCCUAUUUAGAAUGGCGCUGAUCUGAUGAAUAAAAAAAUGAUCAGGGCCUUUCUAAGUAGAGUAAGGCUUA
Molecule: microRNA precursor, 78 nt
Filed under: Mus spretus (western wild mouse)
Lineage: Eukaryota; Metazoa; Chordata; Mammalia; Rodentia; Muridae
Source: RNAcentral